RNAcentral lists this long non-coding RNA (3196 nucleotides) under Homo sapiens (human). RNAcentral describes it as "HSALNT0106407". Lineage: Eukaryota; Metazoa; Chordata; Mammalia; Primates; Hominidae. The record is from RNAcentral.
GUGGUUUUCAAAUCUUCCCCACCUCUUCAAACUAAAUAUAGAACCCCCCCCCCAAUUUAUAAAUAAAAUAAAAAGUAGAAGUUGGGGCUGGCCUGGUGGCUCAGGCCUGUAAUCCCAGCACUUUGGGAGGCCAGGGCGGGUGGAUCACUUGAGAUCAAGAGUUCAAGACCAGCCUGGCCAACGUGGCGAAACCCCAUCUCUACUAAAAAUACAAAAAUUAGCCAGGCGUGAUGGUGCAUGCCUAUAAUCCCAGCUACUCAGGAGGCUGAUGCAGGAGAAUCGCUUGAACCCGGGAGGCGGAGGUUGCAGUGAGCCGAGAUCGUGCCAUUGCAUUCCAGCCGGGGCGAUGAGAGAAACUCCGUCACAUAAAAAAAUAGAAGUUUGGGUAUAUGUAUGGGAGGGAUGUGUACACCAUUCUCUGGGCCCACUUCACCCAGCGCCACCUACUUCAGUUCAUUUUCUUCAGUUGGGUUCCCUGUGUAAUUCAAGUUUCCCCAUAACAGAAAAGCCAAAAGAGCUGACUUUUCACACACAAGAGUGGAGAAUAAGAAUACAGUACUAUAGGCUGGGCGUGGUGGCUCAUGCCUAUAAUCCCAGCACUUUGGGAGGCCGAGGCGGAUGGAUCACGAGGUCUAGAUAGAGACCAGCCUGGCCAACAUGGUGAAAACCUGUCUCUACUAAAAAUACAAAAAUUAGCUGGGCAUGGUGGUGCACGCUUGUAGUCUCAGCUAUUCGGGAAGCUGAGGCAGGAGAAUUGCUUGAACCCGAGAGACGGAGGUUGCAGUGAGCCAAGAUUGCACCACUGCACUCCAGCCUGGCUACACAGCGAGACUCCAUCUCAAAAAAAAAUAAUAAUAAUACAGUAGUAUAAACAUGGACAAGUGCAAAAAGCUACAUAACAAAUUUUAAACCCUAAGCUAAAUAUUUACACUCAGUGGGAAAGAUGAACAAGCCAGUAACCCUAAUGGCUGAAGCACUUACCUCUUAAAUUUGUACUUAAGGGCUUAAGAAAAUGUCCUCUACACACCUGGUCAUUAGUAUCUUUUAGAUCAGCAUUUCUCAAACUUUAAGAUACACAUUGGGAAUUUUUUUUUUUUUGAGACAGUCUUGCUGUGUCGCCAGGGUGCAGUGCAGUGGCACGAUCUGGGCUCACUGCAAGCUCCGCCUCCCAGGUCAAGCAAUUCUUCUGCCUCAGCCUCCCAAGUAGCUGGGACUACAGGCGUGCACCACCACGCCCAGUUGUAUUUUCAGUAGAGACGGGGUUUCACCAUGUUGGCCAGGAUGGCCUUGAUCUCUUGACCUCGUGAUACACCCACCUCAGCCUCCCAAAGUGCUGGGAUUACAGGCAUGAGCCACUGCACCCGGCCCACAUUGGGAAUUUUUUUUUUUUUAAACAGUGUCACUCUGUUGCCCAGACUGGAGUGCAGUGGCACAAUCUCAGCUCACUACAACCUCUGCCUCCCAGAUUCAAGUGAUUCUCCUGCCUCAGCCUCCUAAGUAGCUGGGAUUACACGCAUGCGUCACCACACACACCUAAUUUUUGUUAUUUUUUGUAGAGAUGGGUUUUCCCCAUGUUGGCCAGCCUGGUCUCAAACUCCCAGCCUCAAGUGAUCCGCCCACCUUGGCCUCCCAAAGUGUGGGAUUACAGGCAUGAGCCACCACACCUGACCCACAUUGGGAAAUCUUGUUAAUAUCAGAUUACAAUUAAGUGGGAAUAGUGGUGAGGCUGAGACUAUUUCUAAUAAGUUCCCUGGUGAUACUGAGGCUGCUGUUCCUCAAAUCAUACUUGGGAGUAGCAAUGUUCUAGAGAUGAUCUAGUGGGUUUUUUUGAGACAGAGUUACUCUAUCGCCCAGGCUGGAAUGCAGUGGAAAUCUCGGCUCACUGCAACCUCUGCCUCCCAGGUUCAAGUGAUUCUCCUGCCUCAGCCUCCCAACUAGCUGGGAUUACACGCACCCACCACCAUGCCCGGCUAAUUUUUGUAUUUUUAGUAGAUACAGGGUUUCGCCAUGUUGGCCAUGCUUGUCUUGAACUCCUGACUUCACGUGGUCCACCUGCCUUGGCCUCCCAAAGUGCUGGGAUAACAGGCAUAAACCACCACGCCUGGCAAGAUUUGAUUAUGACUUAUCAGAUCUAAACAGAGUUCCUGAACUAGUCAAGUAGCAAUCUAAUUCUACAUUAGAACAAAACGCAAGAGAUAGGCCAAUGGUUAGAACUGAGGGUAUAAUAGGGUUUACCUGUAUGAAAUUCACUGUUUAUUAAGUCACUUUUAUGUACAGAAAGACCUGCCCUAGUUACCAUAUCACUUUUAGGGUUUCAAGGCUUCAUCUCACAUUCUUCAGCUGAAAACAGGUAAAUCUGGUGAAGGUAUUAUCUGAACUGCCCGUCACAGAGCUAGAGAGAAGUUUUUCUUUUGUUUUUUUUUUUUUUGAGACAGUCUCUCACUCUCACCCUGGCUGGAGUGCAUUGGUGUGAUCUCAACUCACUGCAACCUCCACCUUCCAGGUUCAAGCAAUUCUCCUGCCUCAGUCUCCCGAGUACCUGGGAUUACAGGCGCCUGCCACCAAGCCCAGCUAAUUUUUUUUAGUAGAGACGGGGUUUUGCCACCUUGCCCAGGCUGGUCUCGAACUCCUGAGCUCCUGCAAUCCACUCACCUCAGCCUCCCUAAAUGCUGGGAUUAUAGGCAUGAGGAACCGCACCCAGCCUAAAGAGAAGUUUUUCUUUUUUUUUUUUUUUUGAGACGGAGUCUCGCUCUGUCACCCAGGCUGGAGUGCAGUGGCGCGCUCUCGGCUCACUGCAAGCUCCGCCUCCCGGGUUCACACCAUUCUCCUGCCUCAGCCUCCCGAGUAGCUGGGACUACAGGCGCCUGCCACCGCACCCGGCUAAUUUUUUUUUGUAUUUUUUAGUAGAGACGGGGUUUCACCGUGGUCUCGAUCUCCUGACCUUGUGAUCCGCCCGCCUCGGCCUCCCAAAGUGCUGGGAUUGCAGGCGUGAGCCACUGCGCCCGGCCAAGAGAAGUUUUUCUUAAAAUCCUUUUUUUGGGGGGGCCAGGAUCGGUGGCUAACAUCUGUAAUCCCAGCAACUUUGGGAGGUCGAGGCAGGCGGAUCAUGAGGUCAAGCAAUCGAGACCAUCCUGGCCAACAUGGUGAAACCUCAUCUCUAUUAAAAAUACAAAAAUUAGCUGAGUGUGGUAGCACG